Molecule: ribosomal RNA, 253 nt
Filed under: uncultured bacterium
Lineage: Bacteria
Description: partial 16S ribosomal RNA
Rfam family: Bacterial small subunit ribosomal RNA
Source: RNAcentral
UACGUAGGGGGCAAGCGUUGUCCGGAUUUAUUGGGCGUAAAGAGCUCGUAGGCGGCUCGUUGCGUCGGCUGUGAAAACCCGCAGCUCAACUGUGGGCUUGCAGCUGAUACGGGCGGGCUGGGAUUCGGUAGGGGAGACUGGAAUUCCUGGUGUAGCGGUGAAAUGCGCAGAUAUCAGGAGGAACACCGGUGGCGAAGGCGGGUCUCUGGGCCGAUACUGACGCUGAGGAGCGAAAGCGUGGGGAGCGAACAGG